Molecule: ribosomal RNA, 253 nt
Filed under: uncultured bacterium
Lineage: Bacteria
Description: partial 16S ribosomal RNA
Rfam family: Bacterial small subunit ribosomal RNA
Source: RNAcentral
UACGUAGGUGGCAAGCGUUGUCCGGAUUUACUGGGCGUAAAGAGCGCGCAGGCGGUCGAUUAAGUCGAGUGUGAAAGCCCCCGGCUCAACUGGGGAGGGUCACUUGAUACUGGUCGACUCGAAGGCAGGAGAGGGAAGUGGAAUUCCCGGUGUAGUGGUGAAAUGCGUAGAUAUCGGGAGGAACACCAGUGGCGAAGGCGACUUCCUGGCCUGUUCUUGACGCUGAGGCGCGAAAGCCAGGGGAGCAAACGGG